GAUGAACGCUGGCGGCGUGCCUAAUACAUGCAAGUCGAGCGAACAGAUGAGGAGCUUGCUCCUCUGACGUUAGCGGCGGACGGGUGAGUAACACGUGGAUAACCUACCUAUAAGACUGGGAUAACUUCGGGAAACCGGAGCUAAUACCGGAUAAUAUAUUGAACCGCAUGGUUCAAUAGUGAAAGACGGUUUUGCUGUCACUUAUAGAUGGAUCCGCGCCGCAUUAGCUAGUUGGUAAGGUAACGGCUUACCAAGGCAACGAUGCGUAGCCGACCUUAGAGGGUGAUCGGCCACACUGGAACUGAGACACGGUCCAGACUCCUACGGGAGGCAGCAGUAGGGAAUCUUCCGCAAUGGGCGAAAGCCUGACGGAGCAACGCCGCGUGAGUGAUGAAGGUCUUCGGAUCGUAAAACUCUGUUAUUAGGGAAGAACAAAUGUGUAAGUAACUAUGCACGUCUUGACGGUACCUAAUCAGAAAGCCACGGCUAACUACGUG
Molecule: ribosomal RNA, 497 nt
Filed under: uncultured bacterium
Lineage: Bacteria
Description: partial 16S ribosomal RNA
Rfam family: Bacterial small subunit ribosomal RNA
Source: RNAcentral